GGUCAACGUNAUAUGNNUACUAGCUGNNNCUAGCUGGUUAAAUACGAUCGAUCCCUAGCAUAAAUGGGGGAGCUACUGACUAAUCGAAGGCGAGCGGUUAUAUAGCUACGAUCGAUCAAGCGCUAGCCUAGCUAGCUACGAUCGGGAUCCACUAGCCUAAAGAGAUGUGGUCAGCUAGCUAAUAUCGACUGCUGUGCUCGAUCGACUAGCUAUAUAGAUCGGGCUAGCUAGAGCUGUUCUAGCUAGCUAAUAGCUGCAGGGAGAUCACGACUAGCUGAGCUAUAGAUCUAAAUGACUAGCGUUCGCGACUAGCUAGCAUCAGCUAAUAUCGCUAGGAGGUUGUUAAAUACGAGGUGAUUAUCCGGGGGCUCAACUUCGAAUUGCCUUGUAGACUGAUGAACUAGAGUACUGGAGAGGUAAGCGGAAUACCAGGUGUAGCGGUGGAAUGCGUAGAUAUCUGGUAGAACACCAAUAGCGAAGGCAGGUUGCUGGACAGAAACUGCCUCUGAAAGACGAAAGCAUGGAAAGCAAACAGGAUUAGAUACCCUGGUAGUCCAUGCCGUAAACGUUGUCAACUUGAUGUGGGCGGUUUAGUCCUGUCCGUAUCGAAGAACGCGAUAAGUUGCCGCCUGGGAACUACGGCCGCAAGGCUAAAACCAAAAGGAAUUGUCGGGGGCCCGCACAAGCGGUGGGGCAUGUGGCUUAAUUCAGGCAACGCGAAGGAACCUUACCUGGGCUUGAAAUUACCGGACCGGCUGUGAAAGCAGUCUUCCCUUCGGAGAAUGGUAUACAGGUGCGCAUGGCUUUCGUCAGCUCGUNCCGUGAGUGUUCGGUUAAAUCCGGCAACGAGCGCAACCCGUGUCAU
Molecule: ribosomal RNA, 865 nt
Filed under: uncultured Victivallis sp.
Lineage: Bacteria; Pseudomonadati; Lentisphaerota; Lentisphaeria; Victivallales; Victivallaceae
Description: bacterial SSU rRNA
Rfam family: Bacterial small subunit ribosomal RNA (bases 219-865)
Source: RNAcentral